This is a long non-coding RNA of Drosophila arizonae, 86 nucleotides long. The record is from RefSeq and is a predicted model, not a curated record. Lineage: Eukaryota; Metazoa; Arthropoda; Insecta; Diptera; Drosophilidae.
GUUUGCGUGUGUAAAAAGCGUAACUAUAACAUAUUAUUUUGAACAAAACUCAUAUUUUAUAACAGAUAAAAACUAGAAUCAAAAAC